This 87-nucleotide transfer RNA is filed under the name Felis catus (domestic cat). It matches the Rfam family "tRNA". Rfam says of the family: Transfer RNA (tRNA) molecules are approximately 80 nucleotides in length. Their secondary structure includes four short double-helical elements and three loops (D, anti-codon, and T loops). Further hydrogen bonds mediate the characteristic L-shaped molecular structure. tRNAs have two regions of fundamental functional importance: the anti-codon, which is responsible for specific mRNA codon recognition, and the 3' end, to which the tRNAs corresponding amino acid is attached (by aminoacyl-tRNA synthetases). tRNAs cope with the degeneracy of the genetic code in two manners: having more than one tRNA (with a specific anti-codon) for a particular amino acid; and 'wobble' base-pairing, i.e. permitting non-standard base-pairing at the 3rd anti-codon position. Lineage: Eukaryota; Metazoa; Chordata; Mammalia; Carnivora; Felidae. RNAcentral also lists the same sequence under 5 other names. The record is from Rfam by way of RNAcentral.
ACCUGGGUGGCUCAGUCAGUUGAGCAUCUGACUUCAGCUCAGGUCAUGUUAUCUCAAGGUUCGUGAGUUCAAGCCCCACACUGGGCU